GAUGAACGCUGGCGGCGUGCCUAAUACAUGCCAGUCGAACGAAACUUCUUUAUCACCGAGUGCUUGCACUCACCGAUAAAGAGUUGAGUGGCGAACGGGUGAGUAACACGUGGGCAACCUGCCCAAAAGAGGGGGAUAACACUUGGAAACAGGUGCUAAUACCGCAUAACCAUAGUUACCGCAUGGUAACUAUGUAAAAGGUGGCUAUACUACCGCUUUUGGAUGGGCCCGCGGCGCAUUAGCUAGUUGGUAGGGUAAAGGCUUACCAAGGCAAUGAUGCGUAGCCGAAUUGAGAGGUUGAUCGGCCACAUUGGGACUGAGACACGGCCCAAACUCCUACGGGAGGCAGCAGUAGGGAAUCUUCCACAAUGGGCGAAAGCCUGAUGGAGCAACGCCGCGUGGGUGAAGAAGGUCUUCGGAUCGUAAAACCCUGUUGUCAGAGAAGAAAGUGCGUGAGAGUAACUGUUCACGUUUCGACGGUAUCUAACCAGAAAGCCACGGCUAACUACGU
RNAcentral lists this ribosomal RNA (511 nucleotides) under uncultured bacterium. Its description in RNAcentral is "partial 16S ribosomal RNA". It matches the Rfam family "Bacterial small subunit ribosomal RNA", at positions 28 to 506 of the family's 1533-position model. The record is from RNAcentral.